CUUCAGCUUUCACUGCCAGAAGCUGGCUUUCCUUUCCAAAACUACUGGCCUCCUAACUUCAACACUUUGGCAACAGUACACUUGCCUUUAUUAUGUUCUUUGCUGACAGCUAUUCUGUUUCAACUCUAAGGAUAUUUCACUGAAACAAAGACACUUCUGAGGAAAAUUUAAUAUUCAGAUUCUGUGGAAAUGCCCAACCCAUGCCAGCAGAGAAGACAGACGUUAAAUGAUGGUGAUGAUGAUGAUGAUAGUGGUGGUGGUGGUAUAUGAAUAUUCAAGGUAUAUAAACCAAGAUAUGCAAGGAAUAUAUUAAAUCAUUAUAAAAUGAUUUACCUAAUUACUAUUAAAUAAUGAUUUACUAAACAAAUCUAUUGUAAAUGGAAAUCACCUAAGGUUUAUAUUCUGGCUGUAAAUAUUUAAUUUACUUCAUGAAUAUUUAUUGAAAAUAAAUGAACAUCGCCACUCUUAAUCCCUCCACUUUCUCUCUCUCUCUCUCUCUCUCUCUCUCUCUCUCUCUCUCUCUCUCUCUCUCUCUCUCUCUCUCUUAUACACACACACUUCUUGAAGUCAAUAAAAGCAAACACUCACAAACACAUACCUAUUGGCCAUGAAAGGUUUAUUUAACUAGUGUGGAAGAAGACUGAACAGUUUCCUGUUUGCAGUUUAUUACAAUUUAUUAUUUAUCAAUGACAUCUUAUAGACAUCAACAGCUGAGGCAGGCUGUUACCAUUCACUUUGUGUUGUGGUGUCAGUUAAUGGUUGAAUUGUAGUUUAGCAAGUUAAAUUUAUUCUCCACUAACUGAUAGACAUAACAGUCUGAAAGCAUUCGGGACACAUGCUAUAUAUUUAGUGCCUUCAACACCAACUAGCAUGAAACAGCCUCAAUUAAAGUGAUUACAUUUAAAAUUCAAAUCCAGCUGAAAUGUCAUUAUUACAUUAAAGAUAAUAUCGUAUAUCAAUAUGUAAACAUUUGUUAUUUGUUGGAAGUAAUUUAUUUUAUUAAACCUCUCAUGAUUCUUGACUAUUUUGAAAAUUUAACCAUAAAGACAGAAUACAGUCCCAAUAGGGUUGAUGAUUGCAAUAAAUGGUUCUCAAGGCCCUUGAAGGACCUUUCGAGUUGGUGCAGCUUUCUUUUGAUGAUGAGAAGCAGAUAGAUUAAAGAGAAAUUUCAGUUCCUAGACAGAUCACUUGUAUGUCACAGAUAUUUGCAACAAGUCUGUUAAACCAGAGGUGUCACAUUGGAUGUGAAGGGAAAUUUCUUUGAAGAUUUAAAGAAGAUAUGAAACAACUGGAAAAACAUCUGGAAAGAAGCUAAAGAGGUGACAUCAGAUCUUGAGAUGGAAAUCAAACUCCCACAAGUAUGUGAAGGUGUGAGACAAAAGAAGGGAGCAUGAUGACACAACUUCUGAUGCCAAUUUUCAGAAACAUCUGAUACAGAGGAUUUGCAAGCUGAGGCCCAUAUUAAUGUUAAAGUUUUGAUUGAUAUUGCAGAAUUUAUUAUACUUUUUAAUGUCAAGUGGUUCACAGAAAAUUUUGAUUUCCUCAGGAAAUGUCUCACAAUAUCUGAAAGUAAAGAGGUGAAAAAAAAGUGAAGCUGUUUGAACAUCAUUAUUCCACUGACCUUCAGAAUGAAAAAUUUGCAACAAAAUACAUUCACCAUCAAUACAUAAAACAAAUUUUGGAAACCAGAACUGAAAUCUUUAGAACUGCUAAAUUUAUCAACUGACUAAAAACUUUGUGAGAUAUUUCCAAAUAUUUGUGCUAAUUUGAGAAUACUGUUGACAAUUCCAGCUGCAAUAGCAUCUGUAAAAAAAUCUUUCAGCAAACUUAAACAUAGCAAAAACCUUUUAAAGGGCAAUGUGUCUUACCUGUUAAUUUAGCCAGAAGGAAUAUUGAAUCAAACAUUGCCAGAUAAACUGACUUGUGAUAAUGUUAUAAGAAAUUUUUUUAGAUAAAAAUGUUUGAAGGAAAAGGUUAUUUCUUUAAUUGAUGAGGCUCGUUGUAUAAAGUAAAUUAUAAUCUGGUUAUUCUGGAGAACAGGGAAUAAAGCAUAUUCAUUAGGUUAU
This is a long non-coding RNA of Octopus bimaculoides (California two-spot octopus), 2066 nucleotides long. Lineage: Eukaryota; Metazoa; Mollusca; Cephalopoda; Octopoda; Octopodidae. The record is from RefSeq and is a predicted model, not a curated record.